UACAGAGGUCUCAAGCGUUGUUCGGAUUAAUUGGGCGUAAAGGGUGCGUAGGCGGCGCGGUAAGUCGGGUGUGAAAUCUCGGAGCUUAACUCCGAAACUGCAUUCGAUACUGCCGUGCUUGAGGACUGGAGAGGAGACUGGAAUUUACGGUGUAGCGGUGAAAUGCGUAGAUAUCGUAAGGAAGAACAGUGGCGAAGGCGGGUCUCUGGACAGUUCCUGACGCUGAGGCACGAAGGCCAGGGGAGCAAACGGG
This 253-nucleotide ribosomal RNA is filed under the name uncultured bacterium. RNAcentral's name for it is "partial 16S ribosomal RNA". It matches the Rfam family "Bacterial small subunit ribosomal RNA", at positions 524 to 776 of the family's 1533-position model. The record is from RNAcentral.